AGGUAUUCGUGAGGUUCACAUCAAAAUUAUUAUUAUCAAAAGUUUAAUUCUCAAAAUUAUCCAAAGUAUAACAAUAACAAUUCAAGGGAUAAUAAUAAUUCAUCAAACCCUCAAAAUUCACAAAGUAAAAAUCACUAGGAAACAAGCAUUUUAGCUCUUUGAAAGACUGGACAGCUAAGGGAUAAUAUAUCGUUUUGGAGGUGGUGAAUACUGGAAAGAUUGUGGUGGUGAUGUGCAACCGCUGCCGCGGCUGCUGUAGAUACGGUAUUUUGUGUCGAUGAUUCGUUUGAAUUUAAUUUGGUUGAUGUAUCCGCUUGAUGAUGCUGGGAAAUGGCGAAUCGCAAAAAAUUUAUGGGCACACCAAGAACUGCACUGCGUAAAGGAUAAAAGGACAAGAAGUAAAUGUUCUAAAGUUAUGUGAAAAAGCAAGCACCAAAGUGGAAUGCAGCCCCCGUA
Long non-coding RNA from Drosophila biarmipes, 456 nucleotides. RefSeq lists it as uncharacterized. Lineage: Eukaryota; Metazoa; Arthropoda; Insecta; Diptera; Drosophilidae. The transcript has 4 exons. The record is from RefSeq and is a predicted model, not a curated record.